This 528-nucleotide long non-coding RNA is filed under the name Ananas comosus (pineapple). RNAcentral's name for it is "long non-coding RNA (ACOM_LNC009221)". Lineage: Eukaryota; Viridiplantae; Streptophyta; Magnoliopsida; Poales; Bromeliaceae. The record is from RNAcentral.
CUCCGGCAGUUUUUGUUCCCUUCUCAUUAGCUUCAUCAUGUGCCGGUCCAGAAGUAGUGGGACCUCCCUGACCUAUCCCAUCAGUAAUAUCUUCCUCCUUUACAUUGUUGACAUUAAUGCAGAAAUCACUAUCAUUAAUACUAUCCUCAUCACUAUCACCAAAGUUGCUCCACUCAUGCUCACUAUCACUUUCUGAUCCAUCUUCAGCAUCUUCAUUGUUUUCUUCAACCCCUCCACUUACAUUUCCAUCAAGAGGCUCACCCAUUCCCUCAUCUUUCUUCCCUUGUCCAUUUGUAUCUUUCUGAACCUCAUUCUCAGUAUUAUUGUUCUUUAAUUGCUCCCCUUAUACAGUCACAUCUUCAAUGAGCUCAUUUAAAGCCUCCUCAUCUACCAUUUCAGGGGAAACUAUAUAGAGCAAAAUGACACCAAAUUCAUCAUGCCACUUAAGCAUCUCUAGUACUACUUUAUCAUCAUCCACAAGCUUCACGCCAUUAGAUAUAACUCCAAUAGGCAUAUAUCAUUGAUUCU